Non-coding RNA from Epinephelus lanceolatus (giant grouper), 662 nucleotides. Lineage: Eukaryota; Metazoa; Chordata; Actinopteri; Perciformes; Serranidae. The record is from RefSeq and is a predicted model, not a curated record.
AAAUGGCACAGACUGAAUGAUUCACAGCUGAAGUGAUUGCAACUAUAAUUGCUUUGUUUGCUCUCUUGUCUUCAUACACCCUGAGGAAGGCGCAAGCCGACACGUGUUGGUGUCUUUAAUGACUCUUGCUCAUUAAAUAAAGGCUUUUUAAUUUUUCCAAACCGACCUGAGUGCCUGGACUUUGAUUCUUUAUGCCUUCUGGAUUUUUUAACCCUUCCAUGAGCACCGGUGGUUUGAGGGACACCAGCAGCGCUCCUGUUAUCCUUUUCUUCAACCAACUUCUUAUAUUCACACAACACUAAUGGAUGGAAACGAACAUUAAUUUUAGUAAGCCUUGGAUAUGGCCCUGACACAGAGGAAACUCCCCAAGAUGAAACAGCUCCUCCAGAGGAAACACCCCAAAGUGGCCAAAAAGGAUUUGAAGCCGACUGAAUCUUUGUUAACAAACACGGCAGCUGAAAGGUUUCUCUCCUGUGUGGGUUCUCAUGUGAUGAACUAAGGCUUGCUUACAUUCGAUCUCCAAGGGAAGUCAAACAGCGUUCAUCUGCACACACUGUGAUGACACACAGCUGGCUGAAUAUCAGCAAAGUUUCCCUGCUUCCCUUCACUGGUUCCUGUACAGCAGGGUCGGUCUUUGUUUCACUGUUAUAAUCAUUAAAAAG